GAGGGUGUGAGCUGAGGUCUCCUGGGUACACCAGCCAGCCCACGGCACAGAGCCUGCCUGUUGGUCUCUACCCACAGGGGAUCCCCUGCUGCUCCACCAUCAGAUUUGGGACACCACCCCCCCCCCGGCCCCACCAGAGGGCAUCAGCUAUGCCUAGAAGGGGACCACAACAGACUCGACAGGAUCCACCGGUUGGGCCCAAGGCAGGAGGAAGGGCGGCGCCCCCAAACUCCCAGGACGCCUGCAGCACCCCCCACGCGCCGCUCUCCGCCUCUGGGGAGCAUCCUGCCACCCCCCGACACACACACCCCGGCUACAUCCCGCCUUCUCACGCUUGGUCAGGCGCUCUGGAGAUGUCGGAGAUCCAGGCUUUUCCUAAAGAGUCAGGAUUGGAAGGCGGACUCCCACCGUUUGCUGAGCUCCACAUGACAACAGCAGACGACAGGCCGCACUGAUCCCACCUGGCUUACAGGUGCUGUCACACAGGACUGCUGACUAAACACUUUCAAGCACAGUGGACCCUUGAACAACGCAGGUUCAAACUGUGCAGGUCCACCCACAGGGAUGUUUUUCAAUCAGAGUUAUACCAAGUGUCCCUGCCUCUCCUGCCUCCCUUCCCACUUCCUCCAUGUCUUCCUCUCUGCCACCCUGAGGCAGCAAGACCAGCCCCUCCUCCUCAGCCACUCAACAUGAAGACAACGAGGAUGAAGACUUCUAUGAUAAUCCACUUCCACUUAGUAAAUGCUUUCUCUUAUGAUAUUCUUAAUGACAUUUUAUUUUCCCAAGCUUAGUUUAUUGUAAGAAUACAGUAUAAAUACACAUACAAA
This 827-nucleotide long non-coding RNA is filed under the name Homo sapiens (human). Its description in RNAcentral is "long intergenic non-protein coding RNA 3034". The record is from RNAcentral. Lineage: Eukaryota; Metazoa; Chordata; Mammalia; Primates; Hominidae.